GUAUAUGCUCGCCCGGUCGGUUUCCUUCGGGAAUUAAUAGGGAAUUCGCCGCAGCUUGGCUGCGAACCGAAACUGCCCCCGCAACUGUAGACGGUGAGCCACGCCCUCCGCGCCACUGGGAUGUUAUCCCGGGAAGGCCGGGCGAGCGACGACCCGUCAGUCAGGAGACCUGCCGACAAUCCCAUUCACGA
This 191-nucleotide non-coding RNA is filed under the name Marinobacter nanhaiticus. Lineage: Bacteria; Pseudomonadati; Pseudomonadota; Gammaproteobacteria; Pseudomonadales; Marinobacteraceae. The record is from RNAcentral.